GAUGAACGCUGGCGGCGUGCCUAAUACAUGCAAGUCGAGCGAACAGACGAGGAGCUUGCUCCUCUGACGUUAGCGGCGGACGGGUGAGUAACACGUGGAUAACCUACCUAUAAGACUGGGAUAACUUCGGGAAACCGGAGCUAAUACCGGAUAAUAUAUUGAACCGCAUGGUUCAAUAGUGAAAGACGGUUUUGCUGUCACUUAUAGAUGGAUCCGCGCCGCAUUAGCUAGUUGGUAAGGUAACGGCUUACCAAGGCAACGAUGCGUAGCCGACCUGAGAGGGUGAUCGGCCACACUGGAACUGAGACACGGUCCAGACUCCUACGGGAGGCAGCAGUAGGGAAUCUUCCGCAAAGGGCGAGAGCCUGACGGAGCAACGCCGCGUGAGUGAUGAAGGUCUUCGGAUCGUAAAACUCUGUUAUUAGGGAAGAACAAAUGUGUAAGUAACUAUGCACGUCUUGACGGUACCUAAUCAGAAAGCCACGGCUAACUACGUG
RNAcentral lists this ribosomal RNA (497 nucleotides) under uncultured bacterium. Its description in RNAcentral is "partial 16S ribosomal RNA". It matches the Rfam family "Bacterial small subunit ribosomal RNA", at positions 28 to 507 of the family's 1533-position model. The record is from RNAcentral.